Pelobates cultripes (western spadefoot toad) is the source of this 255-nucleotide non-coding RNA. The record is from the annotation of a GenBank genome assembly. NCBI's taxonomy places the organism in Eukaryota, Metazoa, Chordata, Amphibia, Anura, Pelobatidae.
GCUUCCUGUCAGCAACAUCCUUCUGUUCUUUGAAUAAUCCACAAUAAAUAAAUAUUGUUUUGCUUGAUUAAAGGUGUUACGUGUGUGGAUAUGUUUGUGUGUGUGUGUGUAUAUAGAGUGGCCUUUUAUUGUGGCCAACCUAAGGCACACCUUUGCAAAAAUUAUGCUGUCUAAUCAGCAUCUUGAUAUGCCACAUCUGUGAGGUGGAUGGAUUAUCUCAGCAAAGGAGAAGUGCUCACUAACACAGAUUUAGAC